CCUACGGUAGACAGCAGUAGGGAAUCUUUCACAAUGGGCGAAAGCCUGAUGGAGCAACGCCGCGUGCAGGAUGAAGGCCUUCGGGUUGUAAACUGCUUUUAUAAGCGAGAAAUAUGAUGGUAACUUAUGAAUAAGGAUCGUCUAACUACGUGCCAGCAGCCGCGGUCAUACGUAGGAUCCGAGCAUUAUCCGGAGUGACUGGGUGUAAAGGGUUGCGUAGGUGGCAUAAUAAGUAGCUAGUGAAAUCUGGUGGCUCAACCAUUCAGACUAUUAGCUAAACUGUUAAGCUCGAGAACGUUAGGGGUAACUGGAAUUUCUAGUGUAGGAGUGGAAUCCGUAGAUAUUAGAAAGAACACCAAUAGCGUAGGCAGGUUACUGGGACGGUUCUGACACUAAGGCACGAAAGCGUAGGGAGCAAACGGGAUUAGAUACCCUUGUAGUC
Molecule: ribosomal RNA, 442 nt
Filed under: uncultured bacterium
Lineage: Bacteria
Description: partial 16S ribosomal RNA
Rfam family: Bacterial small subunit ribosomal RNA
Source: RNAcentral